This is a long non-coding RNA of Rosa rugosa (rugosa rose), 624 nucleotides long. RefSeq lists it as uncharacterized. NCBI's taxonomy places the organism in Eukaryota, Viridiplantae, Streptophyta, Magnoliopsida, Rosales, Rosaceae. The transcript has 3 exons. The record is from RefSeq and is a predicted model, not a curated record.
CUUUGCCAAAAUCUCUCUCUCUCUCUCUCUCAAAUUCUUUGCAUCUGGAUUAUCUGUUCGUUCGUGAAGCUCAGAAAUCGAUAGCUUCCUCGUCCUUGAGACAUUCGUCGACGACAACGGCAGCGGUGAACAAUGGUGAAGCUGGAAGUUCCGAGAGGCAACAACUCCAUCUCGCUCGGUAAACGACGUCGUCUGUUGGUUCCAAGCCGGCGUCUUGCUCGACUUCAUGGCUGAAAGAGGAGGAGGUGUCGUUGUUGAGCGUGGAGGCUUCUACAGCGGAUUCGGAGACCGUUGACGUGGAGGCGACCAUGGUCGCGGCCUGAGGAUCAUGAAGAUCAUGCCAGUUCAGAAGCAGACCCCUGCCGAUUAGAGGACUCGCUUCUUCUGCGAUGUGUGCCAAAAGGAUGUCCUAGUGGCGCUCAUAAGCUUUCACAAUUGUAGCCUUGAUGCCAAAAUCAAGACCAACAUAGGGGACGAUUACAAGAUUAAAGUUUGGAACUACAAGAUGCAUAGAUGUCUUUUUACUCUUCUCGGGCAUCUAGAUUAUAUUCGUCCCGUGCAAUCUCACUUUUUUUAUGCUUGAAGCUUUGUUGAAAGAUUUGUACAAUUAUGUAAGUUUUAUAA